UAGGGAAUCUUCGGCAAUGGACGGAAGUCUGACCGAGCAACGCCGCGUGAGUGAAGAAGGUUUUCGGAUCGUAAAGCUCUGUUGUAAGAGAAGAACGAGUGUGAGAGUGGAAAGUUCACACUGUGACGGUAUCUUACCAGAAAGGGACGGCUAACUACGUGCCAGCAGCCGCGGUAAUACGUAGGUCCCGAGCGUUGUCCGGAUUUAUUGGGCGUAAAGCGAGCGCAGGCGGUUAGAUAAGUCUGAAGUUAAAGGCUGUGGCUUAACCAUAGUAGGCUUUGGAAACUGUUUAACUUGAGUGCAAGAGGGGAGAGUGGAAUUCCAUGUGUAGCGGUGAAAUGCGUAGAUAUAUGGAGGAACACCGGUGGCGAAAGCGGCUCUCUGGCUUGUAACUGACGCUGAGGCUCGAAAGCGUGGGGAGCAAACAGGAUUAGAUACCCUGGUAGUCCACGCUGUAAACGAUGAGUGCUAGGUGUUAGACCCUUUCCGGGGGUUUAGUGCCGUAGCUAACGCAUUAAGCACUCCGCCUGGGGGAGUACGACCGCAAGGUUG
RNAcentral lists this ribosomal RNA (552 nucleotides) under uncultured bacterium. RNAcentral describes it as "bacterial SSU rRNA". It matches the Rfam family "Bacterial small subunit ribosomal RNA", at positions 355 to 896 of the family's 1533-position model. The record is from RNAcentral.